GACGAACGCUGGCGGCGUGCCCAAUACAUGCAAGUCGAGCGGAUUUGUUCCUUCGGGGACAAGUUAGCGGCGGACGGGUGAGUAACACGUAGGUAACCUGCCUAUAAGACUGGGAUAACUAUCGGAAACGAUAGCUAAGACCGGAUAACUGGUUUUCUCGCAUGAGAGAACUAUGAAACACGGAGCAAUCUGUGACUUAUAGAUGGGGCCUGCGGCGCAUUAGCUAGNGGUAGGUAAUGGCCUACCAAGGCGACGAUGCGUAGCCGACCUGAGAGGGUGACCGGCCACACUGGGACUGAGACACGGCCCAGACUCCUACGGGAGGCAGCAGUAGGGAAUCUUCCGCAAUGGACGCAAGUCUGACGGAGCAACGCCGCGUGAGUGAUGAAGGUUUCGGAUCGUAAAGCUCUGUUGCCCUAGACGAACAGCAUGAGGAGUAACUGCCUUGUGUGUGACGGUAUAGGAGAAGAAA
RNAcentral lists this ribosomal RNA (472 nucleotides) under uncultured bacterium. RNAcentral describes it as "bacterial SSU rRNA". It matches the Rfam family "Bacterial small subunit ribosomal RNA", at positions 28 to 489 of the family's 1533-position model. The record is from RNAcentral.